RNAcentral lists this ribosomal RNA (253 nucleotides) under uncultured bacterium. Its description in RNAcentral is "partial 16S ribosomal RNA". It matches the Rfam family "Bacterial small subunit ribosomal RNA", at positions 524 to 776 of the family's 1533-position model. The record is from RNAcentral.
UACGUAGGGUGCAAGCGUUGUCCGGAAUUAUUGGGCGUAAAGAGCUCGUAGGCGGUCUGUCGCGUCGGCUGUGAAAACUCGGGGCUCAACUCCGAGCUUGCAGUCGAUACGGGCAGGCUAGAGUUCGGCAGGGGAGACUGGAAUUCCUGGUGUAGCGGUGAAAUGCGCAGAUAUCAGGAGGAACACCGGUGGCGAAGGCGGGUCUCUGGGCCGAUACUGACGCUGAGGAGCGAGAGCGUGGGGAGCGAACAGG